AUGAUGUUCUGCCCAUACAUUGGCAAAAAAUUUACCUUCUGCAAAAGAGCAGUUAACAAUGUUUCCUUGAAUGCCAGAUUCCCAUGGUACCAGACGCCGAGGAGAACUGAUUUGGAUUCUGAGCGCACGGAGCUUGAAUUCCAUUCCAAUAGAAAGCAGUCAACAAAUUGCCUCAACACAUCACCUUUUCCACUGAAAACAUCAACCGCUGCUUCCAUAUCCAACUGAGUUUUUUCAACACCAGAAUCACUUUCUUCUACCUUCUUCUUCUUUUUAGUUUCAGGGGCCUGUGAACCUAAUUUAAUUACAGCUGUUCCAGCUUCCGCAACCUCAGCCUUCUGUGAUGAGUGACUGCUAUCCUUCCCAGUGUAGAAGGCCAGAUUCAGAAGCUUCAACGUCUGAAUUACACACUCCUCCCCAAAAUAAAAUAUUCCAUUCAAAAGGAAAGGAAGAACAUCACCAUGCCUUAAACAAUACUUUUGCCAAUUUCGAGGACGAGCUGCAGCGACUUCAGCCAUGGUUGUUAGGCACCUUACUAUCUUCACACUUCUCUCGUACGAGAUUGAACUUUGAAAUCCACCAGAUUUAUUUAUGUGUUUAUAGAGCUUUUUAACUUCAGUUGAGAACUGCCAAGAGUCUCGAACACUGUAGUAGUGUGUCUUACUACCACAGAGAUGCAGAAAAAGCCUCCUAGCAUACCUUCUAACAUAACUGGUGUUAGGAUUGUUGAUAUAGCUGCAAAG
Molecule: unclassified non-coding RNA, 743 nt
Filed under: Hevea brasiliensis (rubber tree)
Lineage: Eukaryota; Viridiplantae; Streptophyta; Magnoliopsida; Malpighiales; Euphorbiaceae
Source: RNAcentral